This 496-nucleotide ribosomal RNA is filed under the name uncultured bacterium. RNAcentral describes it as "bacterial SSU rRNA". It matches the Rfam family "Bacterial small subunit ribosomal RNA", at positions 18 to 507 of the family's 1533-position model. The record is from RNAcentral.
CCUGGCUCAGAUUGAACGCUGGCGGCAUGCUUUACACAUGCAAGUCGAACGGCAGCACAGGUGCUUGCACCUGGUGGCGAGUGGCGAACGGGUGAGUAAUAUAUCGGAACGUACCCGGAAAUGGGGGAUAACGUAGCGAAAGCUACGCUAAUACCGCAUACGAUCUACGGAUGAAAGCGGGGGAUCGCAAGACCUCGCGCGAUUGGAGCGGCCGAUGGCAGAUUAGGUAGUUGGUGGGGUAAAGGCUCACCAAGCCUUCGAUCUGUAGCUGGUCUGAGAGGACGACCAGCCACACUGGGACUGAGACACGGCCCAGACUCCUACGGGAGGCAGCAGUGGGGAAUUUUGGACAAUGGGCGAAAGCCUGAUCCAGCCAUUCCGCGUGCAGGAUGAAGGCCCUCGGGUUGUAAACUGCUUUUGUACGGAACGAAACGGCCUUUUCUAAUACAGAGGGCUAAUGACGGUACCGUAAGAAUAAGCACCGGCUAACUACGUG